UUAACUCAAAUUUGUACGGAGUUGGAUCAGCCUCUCUAGGUUUGCAACUAGGGACACUGAUCCAACUCCAUACAAAUUAGAGUUG
This is a non-coding RNA of Bombyx mori (domestic silkworm), 85 nucleotides long. The record is from Rfam. NCBI's taxonomy places the organism in Eukaryota, Metazoa, Arthropoda, Insecta, Lepidoptera, Bombycidae.